CCGGAUGCGCGUACCUGCAAUCAGAAGGAGAGCUCGGUGUCCGGUGCUCGGGGAGUGGUUCGCGUGUCUUCACCCGUUUAAAAGUCGCCAGGAACUAUUCGCGAUCAAUCAGUAGAGACUGUAAAAGUCACCGGCUCGGCCCGAUCCACUUCCCAAACACGCUUCUAGUCAGAAACAACAGCGUUCAAGGAAAGCAAUUCGUUUCGUCGGCAUGUUGCGGAUCCGUGGCCAUUUCCAGCCUUCACAGCCAAAGAUGUUGGAUCAGAUGUAGGUAGCCUACAUACACAGCAGUUGCUUUCCAGAUGAAGCGAUCUUUAACAGACAUCUUGAAGAUGUGCGCGUGCUAUCUGGGACAGGGACACGCAUUAUUGGAGUAAUCCUUCCAUCUAGUGGUGACCAAAAGAGUCACAAGAAUUGUCUUGUAACUAUGUUUCCGGAAGAGAGAAAACAUGUAAAGCAACUUGAGGAUUCGAAGGCAGUGUGUGGGCAGCUGGACUCCUUCUAUCUCCGGAGUAACUGAAGGUUGAACAUGUUUUUACUUGUGUUCACUUCCCAGUUUGCUCAAUUCAUUGUUGGACUGCUCCUUUAUUCACUGAUCCAAGAUUCCUGCCAUGAAAACAAACAAAGCAAUAUUCCUACUUUUAUUAAAUCCUUAGCCAUGAAUUCUAAAGAUGAAAGAAUCCUGCAGGAACCGAGUAUGAUCCAGAUAAAGGGAAAGAGAGACAACAGGAGCAUGUUGAUGUCAAAUUAGCCAGUGUGUUAUUUGCUUGGUUUGUUCAUUUUAUUUAGUCCUCGGAAACAGAAUGAGUUUACUCAGAAGUUACUAUUGCACAGAUUUGUUACUUUAUGUCUGUUACCUUGACAUCAUCGCUGUUUUUGUUGUGUUCAAUGCCUAAUCAUCCACCUGUUAUUACAGACAGAAAGAGAAGCUGGUCACUGAUCUCACCCUUUCACUCAACCUUUGAUCCCAGCCAUGAGUCAUACACACAGUCAUGUGAGAGAUAUAUAUUAGAGAACGCAGCUACUGUUUGUCACAAACGGAGGCUCUUUCUAAUAAAAAAAUACAACAACAUCUAAUUAAUGAUAAAGUUUUGAUUUAAAAAUACAAAAUGUUUGAUUUAUGCUGUGGUUUUGUCAAAUUUGUCAAAUGCUAAACUUUUUAAAAUUAGAACGGUUAGGAAUAUAUUUUGUGGGUUCUGACUUUCAAUAAAAUUCCAGUAUCAUAAUUUAUUUAUUUUUGUAUUUAUUUGUUUAUAAUGUCUCUUGGGUAAAACUGUGAACACAAUAAAAACAACUUUAAGACAAUGUU
Long non-coding RNA from Carassius auratus (goldfish), 1309 nucleotides. RefSeq lists it as uncharacterized. The record is from RefSeq and is a predicted model, not a curated record. NCBI's taxonomy places the organism in Eukaryota, Metazoa, Chordata, Actinopteri, Cypriniformes, Cyprinidae. The transcript has 3 exons.